Molecule: ribosomal RNA, 1306 nt
Filed under: uncultured bacterium
Lineage: Bacteria
Description: bacterial SSU rRNA
Rfam family: Bacterial small subunit ribosomal RNA
Source: RNAcentral
AACGUACGCUGGCGGCACGCUUAACACAUGCAAGUCGAACGAAGUAGCAAUACUUAGUGGCAGACGGGUGAGUAACAUGUGGGUAUCUGCCCUUUGGCCUGGAAUAACACGAGGAAACUUGUGCUAAUACCGGAUAAGUCUUUACGGAGAAAGCUUUAUGCACCAUUGGAUGAGCCCGCACUUGAUUAGUUUGUUGGUGGGGUAAUGGCCUACCAAGACUAUGAUCAAUAGCUGAUUUGAGAGGAUGAUCAGCCACAUUGGGACUGAGACACGGCCCAAACUCCUACGGGAGGCAGCAGUGGGGAAUCUUGCACAAUGGAGGAAACUCUGAUGCAGCGAUGCCGCGUGAGUGAAGAAGGCCCUUGGGUUGUAAAGCUCUUUCGUCGGGGAAGAAAAUGACUGUACCCGAAUAAGAAGGUCCGGCUAACUUCGUGCCAGCAGCCGCGGUAAUACGAAGGGACCUAGCGUAGUUCGGAAUUACUGGGCUUAAAGAGUUCGUAGGUGGUUGAAAAAGUUAGUGGUGAAAUCCCAGAGCUUAACUCUGGAACUGCCAUUAAAACUUUUCAGCUAGAGUAUGAUAGAGGAAAGCAGAAUUUCUAGUGUAGAGGUGAAAUUCGUAGAUAUUAGAAAGAAUACCAAUUGCGAAGGCAGCUUUCUGGAUCAUUACUGACACUGAGGAACGAAAGCAUGGGUAGCGAAGAGGAUUAGAUACCCUCGUAGUCCAUGCCGUAAACGAUGUGUGUUAGACGUUGGAAAUUUAUUUUCAGUGUCGCAGCGAAAGCGAUAAACACACCGCCUGGGGAGUACGACCGCAAGGUUAAAACUCAAAUGAAUUGACGGGGACCCGCACAAGUAGUGGAGCAUGUGGUUUAAUUCGAAGAUACGCGCAGAACCUUACCAACACUUGACAUGUUCGUCGCGACUCUAAGAGAUUAGAGUUUUCGGUUCGGCCGGACGAAACACAGGUGCUGCAUGGCUGCCGUCAGCUCGUGUCGUGAGAUGUUGGGUUAAGUCCCGCAACGAGCGCAACCCUCACUUUUAGUUGCCAUCAUUAAGUUGGGCACUCUGAAAGAACUGCCAGUGAUAAGCUGGAGGAAGGUGGGGAUGACGUCAAGUCCUCAUGGCCCUUACGUGUUGGGCUACACACGUGCUACAAUGGUAUCUACAACAGGAAGCAAGACUGCGAGGUCAAGCAAAUCCUUAAAAGAUACCUCAGUUCGGAUUGCACUCUGCAACUCGAGUGCAUGAAGCUGGAAUUACUAGUAAUCGUGGAUCAGCGUGCCACGGUGAAUGCGUUCCCGGGUCU